Molecule: ribosomal RNA, 365 nt
Filed under: uncultured bacterium
Lineage: Bacteria
Description: bacterial SSU rRNA
Rfam family: Bacterial small subunit ribosomal RNA
Source: RNAcentral
ACUCCUACGGGAGGCAGCAGUGGGGAAUAUUGCACAAUGGGCGCAAGCCUGAUGCAGCAACGCCGUGUGAGUGAAGAAGGUUUUCGGAUCGUAAAACUCUGUCCUAAGGGAAGAAACAAAUGACGGUACCUUAGGAGGAACGCCCCGGCUAACUACGUGCCAGCAGCCGCGGUAAUACGUAGGGGGCAAGCGUUAUCCGGAAUCACUGGGCGUAAAGGGUGCGUAGGCGGCUUAGCAAGCCAGGGGUGAAAGGCAUUGGCUCAACCAAUGUAAGCCUUUGGAACUGUUAAGCUUGAGUGCAGGAGAGGUAAGUGGAAUUCCUAGUGUAGAGGUGAAAUUCGUAGAUAUUAGGAGGAACACCAGUA